UACGGAGGAUGCGAGCGUUAUCCGGAUUUAUUGGGUUUACAGGGUGCGUAGGCGGAUUUGUAAGUCAGCGGUAAAAGCCCGGGGCUCAACCCCGGCCCGCCGUUGAAACUGGCUUGCUAGAGUGGGCGAGAAGUAUGCGGAAUGCGUGGUGUAGCGGUGAAAUGCAUAGAUAUCACACAGAACACCGAUUGCGAAGGCAUCUCACGAAUCCGCUAUUGACGCUGAUGCACGAAAGCGUGGGUAUCAAACAGG
Molecule: ribosomal RNA, 252 nt
Filed under: uncultured Bacteroidales bacterium
Lineage: Bacteria; Pseudomonadati; Bacteroidota; Bacteroidia; Bacteroidales
Description: partial 16S ribosomal RNA
Rfam family: Bacterial small subunit ribosomal RNA
Source: RNAcentral